CCUACGGGAGGCAGCAGUAAGGAAUAUUGGUCAAUGGGGGCAACCCUGAACCAGCCAUGCCGCGUGCAGGAUGACUGCCCUAUGGGUUGUAAACUGCUUUUGUUAGGGAAUAAACCCCGCUACGUGUAGCGGGCUGAAUGUACCUAAAGAAUAAGGAUCGGCUAACUCCGUGCCAGCAGCCGCGGUAAUACGGAGGAUCCGAGCGUUAUCCGGAUUUAUUGGGUUUAAAGGGUGCGUAGGCGGCACUUUAAGUCAGGGGUGAAAGACGGCAGCUCAACUGUCGCAGUGCCCUUGAUACUGAAGUGCUUGAAUGCGGUUGAAGACGGCGGAAUGAGACAAGUAGCGGUGAAAUGCAUAGAUAUGUCUCAGAACACCGAUUGCGAAGGCAGCUGUCUAAGCCGUUAUUGACGCUGAUGCACGAAAGCGUGGGGAUCGAACAGGAUUAGAUACCCUGGUAGUCAAUCCCGCGGCCAUGGCGGCCGGGAGCAUGCGACGUCGGGCCCAAUUCGCCCUA
This 514-nucleotide ribosomal RNA is filed under the name uncultured Sphingobacterium sp. RNAcentral describes it as "bacterial SSU rRNA". It matches the Rfam family "Bacterial small subunit ribosomal RNA", at positions 338 to 850 of the family's 1533-position model. The record is from RNAcentral. Lineage: Bacteria; Pseudomonadati; Bacteroidota; Sphingobacteriia; Sphingobacteriales; Sphingobacteriaceae.